AUUGAACGCUGGCGGAAUGCUCUACACAUGCAAGUCGAACGGCAGCACGGACUUCGGUCUGGUGGCGAGUGGCGAACGGGUGAGUAACAUAUCGGAACGUAUCCAAUAAUGGGGGGAUAACGAGUCGAAAGAUUCGCUAAUACCGCAUACGCCCUACGGGGGAAAGCUGGGGACCUUCGGGCCUGGCGUUAAUGGAGCGGCCGAUAUCUGAUUAGCUAGUUGGUGAGGUAAAGGCUCACCAAGGCGACGAUCAGUAGCUGGUAUGAGAGGACGACCAGCCACACUGGAACUGAGACACGGUCCAGACUCCUACGGGAGGCAGCAGUGGGGAAUUUUGGACAAUGGGCGCAAGCCUGAUCCAGCCAUUCCGCGUGAGUGAAGAAGGCCUUCGGGUUGUAAAGCUCUUUCGCAAGGGAAGAAAACUUAGCCACUAACAUUGGUUGAGGUUGACGGUACCUUGAUAAGAAGCACCGGCUAACUACGUGCCAGCCGCCGCAGUAA
Molecule: ribosomal RNA, 501 nt
Filed under: uncultured bacterium
Lineage: Bacteria
Description: partial 16S ribosomal RNA
Rfam family: Bacterial small subunit ribosomal RNA
Source: RNAcentral